This 75-nucleotide transfer RNA is filed under the name Halomonas cupida. RNAcentral's name for it is "tRNA_Gln_TTG". It matches the Rfam family "tRNA". From Rfam's summary of the family: Transfer RNA (tRNA) molecules are approximately 80 nucleotides in length. Their secondary structure includes four short double-helical elements and three loops (D, anti-codon, and T loops). The record is from RNAcentral. RNAcentral also lists the same sequence under 17 other names. Lineage: Bacteria; Pseudomonadati; Pseudomonadota; Gammaproteobacteria; Oceanospirillales; Halomonadaceae.
UGGGGUAUAGCCAAGCGGUAAGGCAGCGGUUUUUGGUAUCGCCAUGCGGAGGUUCGAAUCCUCCUACCCCAGCCA